UAAAGCGAAUAAGGGCGCAUGGUGGAUGCCUAGGCUCUAGGAGGCGAAGAAGGACGUGGUAAGCUGCGAUAAGCUACGGGGAGAUGCAAACGAUCGUUACAUCCGUAGAUUUCCGAAUGGGACAACCCGGCACACUGAAGGUGUGUCACUCAGCAAUGAGAGCCAACGCAGGGAACUGAAACAUCUAAGUACCUGCAGGAAAGGACAUCAACCGAGACUCCGCAAGUAGUGGCGAGCGAACGCGGACCAGGCCAGUGGCAAUGAGGAAUAAAGCCGAACGUUUUGGAAAAGGCGGCCGUAGCGGGUGAUAGCCCCGUACGCGUAGAACACUCAUUGUCCUAGAGUAAGGCGGGACACGUGAAAUCCUGUCUGAACAUGGGGAGACCACUCUCCAAGCCUAAGUACUCGUGCAUGACCGAUAGCGAACAAGUACCGUGAGGGAAAGGUGAAAAGCACCCCGACGAGGGGAGUGAAAUAGCACCUGAAACCGGAUGCCUACAAACAGUCGGAGCCCGCAAGGGUGACGGCGUACCUUUUGUAUAAUGGGUCAACGACUUAGUGUAACAAGCAAGCUUAAGCCGGUAGGUGUAGGCGCAGCGAAAGCGAGUCUGAAUAGGGCGAUUUAGUUAGUUGCAUUAGACCCGAAACCGAGUGAUCUAGCCAUGAGCAGGCUGAAGGUUGGGUAACACCAACUGGAGGGCCGAACCCGUAUCUGUUGCAAUAGAUUGGGAUGACUUGUGGCUAGGGGUGAAAGGCCAAUCAAACUCGGAAAUAGCUGGUUCUCCGCGAAAGAUAUUUAGGUAUCGCCUCGGAUGAAUACCUCAGGGGGUAGAGCACUGGAUGGGCUAGGGGGACUUACCGUCUUACCAAACCCAACCAAACUCCGAAUACCGAGAAGUACUGCGCGGGAGACACACGGCGGGUGCUAACGUCCGUCGUGGAGAGGGAAACAACCCUGACUUACAGCUAAGGCCCCCAAUUCGUGGCUAAGUGUGAAAGGAUGUGGGAAUCCCAAAACAACCAGGAGGUUGGCUUAGAAGCAGCCAUCCUUUAAAGAAAGCGUAACAGCUCACUGGUCUAAAUAAGGGUUCCUGCGCCGAAGAUGUAACGGGGCUCAAGCCAUGAGCCGAAGCUGUGGGCUUGCGUAAGCAAGCGGUAGCGGAGCGUUCCAUAGGCCUGUGAAGGAGCAUGCGUGAGCAACUCUGGAGGUAUUGGAAGUGCGAAUGCUGGCAUGAGUAACGACAAACAGUGUGAAAGACACUGUCGCCGAAAGUCCAAGGGUUCCUGCGUAAAGUUAAUCUUCGCAGGGUUAGCCGGUCCCUAAGGCGAGGCCGAAAGGCGUAGUCGAUGGGAAUGCAGUGAAUAUUCUGCAGCCAGUGGAUGGUGACGAAUCCCGUGUGUUGUCCGACCUUAAUGGAUUGGUCGGGCCUCGAAGGGGUUCCAGGAAAUAGCCUCCACAUUAGACCGUACCCGAAACCGACACAGGUGGACUGGUAGAGUAUACCAAGGCGCUUGAGAGAACUAUGUUGAAGGAACUCGGCAAUUUACCUCCGUAACUUCGGGAUAAGGAGGCCCAUUGCUCGCGCAAGCGGGCAGUGGGGGCACAGACCAGGGGGUGGCAACUGUUUAACAAAAACACAGGGCUCUGCGAAAUCGCAAGAUGACGUAUAGGGUCUGACGCCUGCCCGGUGCCGGAAGGUUAAGAGGAGAGGUGCAAGCUUUGAAUCGAAGCCCCGGUAAACGGCGGCCGUAACAAUAACGGUCCUAAGGUAGCGAAAUUCCUUGUCGGGUAAGUUCCGACCUGCACGAAUGGCGUAACGAUGGCCACACUGUCUCCUCCUGAGACUCAGCGAAGUUGAAAUGUUUGUGAUGAUGCAAUCUCCCCGCGGAAAGACGGAAAGACCCCAUGAACCUUUACUGUAGCUUUACAUUGGACUUUGAACAGAUCUGUGUAGGAUAGGUGGGAGGCUUUGAAGCGGUGCCGCUAGGUGUCGUGGAGCCAACGUUGAAAUACCACCCUGAUCAUUUUGGCGAACUAACCUACACCCGUGAGCCGGGUGGGGGACACUGUCUGGUGGGUAGUUUGACUGGGGCGGUCGCCUCCCAAAGAGUAACGGAGGAGUACGAAGGUGCGCUCAGACCGGUCGGAAAUCGGUCGUAGAGUAUAAAGGCAAAAGCGCGCUUGACUGCGAGACAGACACGUCGAGCAGGUACGAAAGUAGGUCUUAGUGAUCCGGUGGUUCUGUAUGGAAGGGCCAUCGCUCAACGGAUAAAAGGUACUCCGGGGAUAACAGGCUGAUACCGCCCAAGAGUUCAUAUCGACGGCGGUGUUUGGCACCUCGAUGUCGGCUCAUCACAUCCUGGGGCUGGAGCAGGUCCCAAGGGUAUGGCUGUUCGCCAUUUAAAGUGGUACGUGAGCUGGGUUUAAAACGUCGUGAGACAGUUUGGUCCCUAUCUGCCGUGGGUGUACGAAGCUUGAGAGGAUCUGUCCCUAGUACGAGAGGACCGGGAUGGACACACCUCUGGUGGACCUGUCGUGGCGCCAGCUGUGCAGCAGGGUAGCUAAGUGUGGAAUAGAUAACCGCUGAAAGCAUCUAAGCGGGAAACUAACCUCAAAACAAGGUCUCGCUGAGAGCCGUGGUAGACCACCACGUUGAUAGGCCAGGUGUGGAAGCGCUGUGAGGCGUGUAGCUUACUGGUACUAAUAGCUCG
This 2712-nucleotide ribosomal RNA is filed under the name Paris polyphylla var. yunnanensis. RNAcentral describes it as "bacterial LSU rRNA". It matches the Rfam family "Bacterial large subunit ribosomal RNA". The record is from RNAcentral. Lineage: Eukaryota; Viridiplantae; Streptophyta; Magnoliopsida; Liliales; Melanthiaceae.